RNAcentral lists this ribosomal RNA (274 nucleotides) under uncultured bacterium. RNAcentral describes it as "partial 16S ribosomal RNA". It matches the Rfam family "Bacterial small subunit ribosomal RNA", at positions 523 to 796 of the family's 1533-position model. The record is from RNAcentral.
AUACGGAGGGGGCUAGCGUUGUUCGGAAUUACUGGGCGUAAAGCGCACGUAGGCGGACUGGAAAGUUGGGGGUGAAAUCCCGGGGCUCAACCCCGGAACUGCCUCCAAAACUUCCAAUCUAGAGAUCGAGAGAGGUGAGUGGAAUUCCAAGUGUAGAGGUGAAAUUCGUAGAUAUUUGGAGGAACACCGGUGGCGAAGGCGGCUCACUGGCUCGAUACUGACGCUGAGGUGCGAAAGCGUGGGGAGCAAACAGGAUUAGAAACCCGAGUAGUCC